Amphiprion ocellaris (clown anemonefish) is the source of this 2812-nucleotide long non-coding RNA. RefSeq lists it as uncharacterized. The transcript is spliced from 3 exons. The record is from RefSeq and is a predicted model, not a curated record. NCBI's taxonomy places the organism in Eukaryota, Metazoa, Chordata, Actinopteri, Pomacentridae.
UGUCAUUUAAUUGUUGCUCUGAAAGCUUCUUCAGUGAAAACCGGCUGGUGUUCUGCUUUGAAACAAACUGCUGUUGAGGUCUGUGUUUUUAGGUUUAACCCCACAGUUUCUGAAUGAACUGAUAGUUUAUUUUUUUCCUGAUCAAUGUGGACAUUAUAAUUGAUGGUAACAUUUACUGAUCAUAUAAUCAGCAUGACAAUAUAACAGUAUAACAUUCUGACCACCUGACUAAUACUGUGUUGGUCCCUUUAUGCUGCUAAAACUCCUCUGACCCAGUGGUUCAUCAGAACCUCUGGGGAUGUCCUGUGGAUUCUGUGGAUCCUGUGGGUUGCAGGGUGGAUCCUACCUAGACCAGGCUGAUCCUGGACCAUCCCACAGAUGCUCAAUCAGAUCUGGAUGUGGGGAGUGUGGAACCCAGAUGUUCAGAGGGAGAUGAUGCCACAUCUGGUCCAGCUGAUGGAAGGUCUUGAAGUUCUCUGACUGGCCUCGACUGAAGAUGGUCGUCUCACUGGAUUUAAGAUGCACAAUGAGGGACGUCUGCAGAGACUGAGAAAGAGUCUCACCACAUCCUGACAUGAGGAAAAAGACUUGAUUGAAGACUACAAUGAGAAAAACUAUCAGACAGCAGACGGCUGCAUUCAAGGUGAGCUCUGAACAUUUGAUCUGGAACAGGAAUUCAAUAACUGCAGCAUGAGCUUCAUUUCAGUCUGUAGCUGCUGAAUUCAUGGAUGAAUCAUCUGGCACUAGAGAGGAAGACCAUCAAACAUCCACGUCAGCUGAUGGAGGUCCAAGAGUCUCACCAAACAAACAACCUACAGAGUGAAGACCUCUAAUCUGAUUGGACGGCCUCCUAUUCAGCCACAUGUGCGAACAAAUGCCUCUGAGUUGAUUUGUUUUCUAAAAUAAAUCUAGUUUGAGUCCUAAUCUAUGCCUGUGUGUUUGCUUCUUUACACCGCUGUUAACAGUUUAGGCUGUUAGAUUGUUCCAGAUAAGACAAGUACAAGAUUCUUCUACCACAAACCUGACAGGAAGAACUCCAACAGCUACUGAAUGUUCCUGUGGUUCCCUCAAGGCUACAGGAGGAGCCCUACGAGGACGAGCCGGUCCACCUGAUGGAGGCCAGUCGCUGUGGUUCAAAGCCAACACCGACUACAUGGACUUCUACUGGACCACACGGAGGCCUUCAAACUGGACCAACAAGUUCACCGACUCCCCGACUUGUGGGUCUGAGGACACCGCCGAGCCUCGGCCCAGCCGGCCUCCUGUCUGUGGGUGUUUGAGUGCUGAGAGGUUUGUGGAUGCAUGUGAACGUUCUGUGUUGAAACAGCAGCUUUGGACUCAGUAACGCCAGGAAAAACCAAGAGCUCCUUUAUCUGUAACUUCCACUAAAAAACUGGUGAAAAUAAGUUUGCCAGGGUUCUGACUGAUAACAGAUUAUUAAAUAAUGAAAAUAAUCGUUUAAAUAUUCCUUUAAACAAUCCUUUUAGGUCUACAUUUCCUUUACACUGACUUCUUGGUAUAUGUACAUGUAUGUCGAAAAAUGUCAUUUUUCAACAUGUUGUAAAAACGUGCCAUAUGAUGAAAUAAUGUAAAGGAGGCCGUGAAAAACACCCCAGAAAGGUUUUCUUUGAAAAAAAAAAUCAUCAUGACUUUUGGCGCAAAAAAUGUUCAUGCGUUCUUUGUGUAAAAACUCAGAGAUUUCAGGUAUCAGAAGGUGGUUUUCAACUUUCUUUGUUAACUUUCUGCUUCAACUUUAAACUAAAUUUCCUUCACUAAGCCAGCCCUCUGGACUUCCAGUAAGCUGUGUUCCUAUUGGCUGUCCAGGUGGCUGCUUGGUAUUAUCAGGAACACCUGAGCAGCUCAGUGUCUUCCUGCUUUAUUUAGCUGCAGACAAACAUUUCCUCUGUUUCUCUUCACCACUGAACCGGGUUUGGCUCCGUUGCUUUACUUUGUUCUUUAGGCGUUGGCUUGCAGCUUCCAGCAGUAAAAUCGUCUUUAAUGUGUUUCUUGGUGUGUUUCAGGGCUUUGUACCAGAUAGUUGUCUUAGUAAAUGUGGUUCUUUAGCCACAGUUAGCACAUGGUGCUAAUGUGUGCAGUGAUUAGUGGAUUUGGUGCAGCUGAGUUGUGUCUUUAUCUUGGCUGUAGUGAGUCUUUAGAGGUUUUUGGUCAGACACGUUCUGUAUUCUUGUUUGUGAACCAGCGUUGGUUGUCCAGAAGGUAAGAGUUCCUGUCCUGAUUCUCUGUUCUCAGAGGUUCUCUGGUAGGCUACAGGAGAGUUUAUCAUUUGGGUUAUGCUAGUUUGGUUUUUGUAUGGUUUCAUUUGGAUGACUAUCUUGAGGCCCCUCCAUGUGGUUCAGUAAGGUUUUCUGGAACAGUUCUACAAAGCAACCUGCAGCAGAAGAGACUUUGAGAGUUUUUAGUAAGUUCUGGAGACCAGACUUUAGAGCAGCAGAAACAUUUGUCAGCAGUUUGAGCAGGAGAAGGUGAGCUUCAGAGUAGAAAUGAGAUGGAAACCUUCUUGACCCGUGUGGUGAGGUCCUGUACCAAGAGUUUGAGCAGGUUGUGAAGAGUCUGUAGUUCUCUGGUCUGAAAGCAGGAGAGAAAACAGGAGAUAUUGUUGGUUCUUCUUUCACUCUGCAGUUUCCAGUUUCCUUAGACUGAAUAUCAAGUUUAUAUGUUAAAUGAUUUACUAUGUGUGCCCAAGAAGACUUCAAUAAACUCCCUCCAUCCCCUGGACACAACAUAUUUUAUUACCAUGUUAAAUCUUUUUUGUUUGUUUGUUUUAAAUGUUUUUGAGUUUGAAUCCUAGUUU